GGACUCGCCGGCGAAGUUCGAAACGAGAUGUGUCGCAUGACCGACCGAGACGACGAAGCAGCGCUCUGAAACCCCUUUGCCGGAGUUGAGAAAUGAGGCCGAAAUCGAAAUGGGUUUUAGAGAACAAGGACGAGAACGCUGUCAGUCAUCGCCAAUGCUGCCCGCUCGCGACUCCUUCAGUCGCAGCAGUAGCUCCACGACGAGGACACCUUCGGUCAUCGCCGCCCUCGUCCACUCGUCCCUCGCCACCAUCAUCAAAACCUUCUACUCGUCCUUCGCCACCAUGAGACGAGGAUGGAUAAUGGGUAUAGGCAGAGCAGAGGCCAAAACGACAUCGAAUUAGGG
This 345-nucleotide long non-coding RNA is filed under the name Rosa chinensis. Its description in RNAcentral is "sRNA RchiOBHm_Chr2g0121811". Lineage: Eukaryota; Viridiplantae; Streptophyta; Magnoliopsida; Rosales; Rosaceae. The record is from RNAcentral.